Molecule: ribosomal RNA, 353 nt
Filed under: Flavobacterium psychrophilum
Lineage: Bacteria; Pseudomonadati; Bacteroidota; Flavobacteriia; Flavobacteriales; Flavobacteriaceae
Description: bacterial SSU rRNA
Rfam family: Bacterial small subunit ribosomal RNA
Source: RNAcentral
AGUGAGUUGGCAUCAACACACUAUUAAAGUCACAACGGUAAAAGAUGAGCAUGCGUCCCAUUAGCUAGUUGGUAAGGUAACGGCUUACCAAGGCAACGAUGGGUAGGGGUCCUGAGAGGGAGAUCCCCCACACUGGUACUGAGACACGGACCAGACUCCUACGGGAGGCAGCAGUGAGGAAUAUUGGUCAAUGGGCGCAAGCCUGAACCAGCCAUGCCGCGUGCAGGAUGACGGUCCUAUGGAUUGUAAACUGCUUUUGCACAGGAAGAAACACUCGGUCGUGACCGAGCUUGACGGUACUGUGAGAAUAAGGAUCGGCUAACUCCGUGCCAGCAGCCGCGGUAAUACGGAGG